GUGAGGAAUAUUGGUCAAUGGGCGAGAGCCUGAACCAGCCAAGUCGCGUGAAGGAAGAAGGAUCUAUGGUUCGUAAACUUCUUUUGCAGGGGAAUAAAGUGCAGGACGUGUCCUGUUUUGUAUGUACCCUGAGAAUAAGGAUCGGCUAACUCCGUGCCAGCAGCCGCGGUAAUACGGAGGAUCCGAGCGUUAUCCGGAUUUAUUGGGUUUAAAGGGUGCGUAGGUGGUUUGAUAAGUCAGCGGUGAAAGUUUGCAGCUUAACUGUAAAAAUGCCGUUGAAACUGUCGGACUUGAGUGUAAAUGAGGUAGGCGGAAUGCGUGGUGUAGCGGUGAAAUGCAUAGAUAUCACGCAGAACUCCGAUUGCGAAGGCAGCUUACUAAGCUACAACUGACACUGAAGCACGAAAGCGUGGGGAUCAAACAGGAUUAGAUACCCCGUAGUCC
RNAcentral lists this ribosomal RNA (444 nucleotides) under uncultured bacterium. RNAcentral's name for it is "partial 16S ribosomal RNA". It matches the Rfam family "Bacterial small subunit ribosomal RNA", at positions 354 to 796 of the family's 1533-position model. The record is from RNAcentral.